This 3776-nucleotide unclassified non-coding RNA is filed under the name Leishmania donovani. Its description in RNAcentral is "gene:LdHU3.27.2070(CDS-product:hypothetical_prote in_conserved)". The record is from RNAcentral. Lineage: Eukaryota; Euglenozoa; Kinetoplastea; Trypanosomatida; Trypanosomatidae.
AGAAAGGUGCAUUACAGGGGUGCAUCACGAGCAUUUCCUGCUUGUCGGUGUCUGUGAAACACACGCACACACACACGUGCAUGUGUGUCUGUGCGGACUGCCGUUGUUUUGCGCAAGUUUGAACUCCGCUUGGGAUACACGCAUUUACAUGGAACCCACCACAGCACUCCGCAACGCAAAGAUCAAUGGAGGUGGACCUCAGCCCGUUCUUCGCAGGUGCGAUGUGCGCACUGGUGGACUCGAACGGUGCUGAGCUUGCCAUCAGUCGUGCCUUUGCAAGUGCCGCUAACGCGUGCUACGAGGCGCACCAGCCUCAGCACUCGUGGAACCAACAGCAGCCGCAGCGCUCGCGCACGUCGGUUACAGUGCAGCUGUGCAUCAGCUCACCGCUGCUGUCGUGGACACGGCAGGCGAAGGACGUGGUGCUGCGCUGCGUCGAUCGCGCCGUGACGCGCAUCUUUCCCCCGCUGGACGUUCUGCAGUACAUCGGCGCCGACUCCCCCGUCUUUCUCGCCGCAGAUGCCAGUGCCAGCCACGAGAAGGCGGGAUCGCAUCUGUGCGUGACUUUUGCGGUUCAGCCAUCUGCCGCUCUGUGGCCCUCCUGGGUGAUCAAACAGCAUGCGGUGGAGGGGGAGGUUGUGACAGGUGUGCAGCUUGGCGAUUCAGAGACCGGAGCCGCGGCGGCUUUGCAGUGGAUGCGCGAUACGCUAUCGGACAUGGACUUGUGGAACCGAGCUCGAGCAGCGCAUCAGCUCUACGACACCAGCAUCGCUCUCGAUGGUGUCCAGCAGCGCUCUGGCGGCAUAUCGGCCUCAGAUACGACAUCGAUAGCCACGGCGGUAGCGCUUCCGUCCCGGCAGCAGGCGUGUGAGGAAAAACACACUAAGCUGCAGUGGCAGCUUGCUCGAUGGCUGACAGAACUCUUCAUGAACGAGGGCAGCUGGGCUCGGCUGCCAGCGUCGCCAUCGACUGGUGCCCCCCGAUCCGCUCAGAAACGCCCCGUUAACGCAGCGACGCGGCGUCUGUUUCAGAGUCCUUUGCGGCCAUCGUUUUCGCAUGUCGUGGAGGCAGCUCUCUCGGCACCGCAUACAACCACACAAAACACUGCGCCCGGAUCCGUCGUGCCACGUCGCCUCCUCCACGCAGAUGUGCGCGGCGUGGAGUGCAACGGUUUGUUGGUCGGGCACACCUCUCGGUACGCCUACAUUGCGGUGCCCUACUUCACGGCCCCAGGCGAGGCUGCAACGACAGGGGCGUCUUCGCCAUCGUGCGUGUGGAGCUUCAUAAGCCGUAUCCCAAUACCUGCAAUCCUUAGCGAAUCGGCUGGUAGAGACGCGGAGGGCCGCCAUGGUGAGAAGGGCCGUUUGCCUCGCAAGCGGCCGCGUGCCUCUGCGUCUCAUCACCCGGACAUCGUGGCAUCAGAGGAGGAGGAGAGCUCCUGUGCCGCCGCGGCACGCAGCGUGCUGGCCCACUGCUUGAAUGUGGAAGAGGCGAUGCGUCACGACACCAACGCAGAGGCGGUAUUUCGCCUCGCGGAUGCUCCGUUUGUGGUGACAGUUCGGGCCCACCGUGUCUACUGCGCGCGGGCUGAUCCAUCGAGGCAUCCGCGCACGCACCCCGCAGCGCCGUCUUCGGACCACUUCUCCACCAAACCCCAGCCGGCUGCAUCACCAUACACACUGUCGCUAGUGCUGGAGGAUGCCUACGUGAUGCAGGUUCGGUCAGCGCUCAGCAACACUGGUGCUGCGCCAACCUCGUCUGCGCCCACCACCGCUCACUGGGCCACUGCUUUGUUGUGUGGGUACGACCCUCAGCAGAGUCCAGAGAACGACGGCGAAGCGGGGCAUAGUGCUACUCAGCAAGGCGUCAACGCCACCAUUGCGCGCGCGCCGCACACCUUCCCCGACGUGGUAAGCGUGGUGCGCGAGAGCUGCCACCGGUUUCAGCGCUCGCACGAGCGGUUUCGCGCUUUGUACGCUCGCUGCGUCCAGGCUUGCGACCCGAGCUCCUCCCCAGCCGCCAGCUCCACGCCAAAAGCGGUGGAAGUCGUAGCGGGCGGAGCCUCCUCCGCGACGGCACAGCAGGUGCCUACCACAGCGGCUGCGCUGGUACCCGAGGCGGCAGUCAAAACGCAGACACUCUCGCCCGCUGUCGCCUCACAGAACCUGCGCUUACUGCGCCAGGCAGAAGCGGUGUACGGCGCGUUGUCAGAUUCAGUCUCUGUGCACUUUGGAAAGCUGCGUGGCGCUGCGCGUGUGCCCGUUCCCGACGUACGCACCGCUGCCGACGUGGCUCAACUGGAGGAGUGCCAUAACGUCGAGUUCAAGGCGAGGGUGGGGCGCGUGACGAACGGCUCCUCAGCUGGUGCAGACUCCCACCAGCAGCGCCAUCCCGUGUUAAUGGAUGCGGAGCGGCUUCGCAACACAAUGGCCGCCAUGGCAGCAUGCCGUGGUGGUGUCAUACUUCUCGGCGUCGCGGACGACGGUCGCAUUCUCGGCCAUGCAAAGCAGCUAGGUGUUGCGCGUCAGUUGCGAACGUCGGGAUUCUGCCCGGCAAUGGUAAAGGACACGGUGCACGUGAAGGAGCUGCGCUGGCUGAGUGCGAGCGGAGGUCUUGCCGGCGCCAGUAAGGCCGUUGCGGGUGAGAGCGGUGGCAAUGGCGCAUCGGUCCCAGUAAAGCCUGCCAUGCCCGAGAACUGGUGGAAGAGUGGUGCCACGCCGCCAGCUCCAGGCUUGCCGAAGGCAUCAGCGACGGCGAAGGCAGGAGCCUCAGCCGGUGAUCAAGUGAUCACCGUCGUCAGCGUCCAGAAGGGCCAGGCGCCGUUCUACGCAACGUCUAAAAACGCGCCUCCGUAUCAGCGUGGUUGUGCGAGCACAACAAUGAUGCCGACCAUGGUGGUGGCACGCCGCAUCAUGAAGGAGCUCGCCUAAACGAAAGAAUGAUGCUGCUGGGAGCUCAUUGCAUUGACCCUCGCAGAGGCGACAAGAAAGGAGGAAAGGAGACAUGGACAAGCUGUGCGAGGGAGACACGUCGCACCGGACCUGGUGUGGAAGCAGCAGUGCCAAUGCCGCUCCUGGGCGGUAUCGCGCCGAUUCGUGCCGAGUUCUUGUCCCUAUCUCCCUGCUCUGAGCUGCCGUGCCGCUGGCGCGCACCUGCAGAAACACAUGCGCAUACAAACCUUCUCACCUUUUUUUUUUCGGCGCAGGCGACUCGCUAAAUUUAUGCGCCUGCCCACGGUGCCGUCGAAGUCCGCUUAAGGAGUCAAGCACUCAAACGUGCACCUUUACAGUUCUACACAACCCUGCACUCUGCAGAAGAAGUGCUGCCUGCUUCUCUCAGGCGAGCGCGCACUGCGUCAGACUUGCCUCCCAGGUGUGUGCACCAUUGCGCGUAUGCGUGCCCGUACGGCCCACGAGUGUCCCAACGUGUGUUCUGUGCCUCUUACGCUGCCCAUGCCCCUCCGAGGCCUCUUCGUACCUUUCCCUUGAGUAUGCGCGUAUGUGUGUUUUGGUGCUCCCCUCUUCUACCUGCCUACACCCGCCCUCCACGUUUGUGCCUCUCUGCGCGGCUCCGCCUGCGUCUCUCCAUUGCUCGUGCACGGUGUGCCUGUAUAUUUCUGCUCGUUGUGUGUGUGCUGAUUGGCCGUUUUGUGGUGGUGCGGCACGACGUUGCCAAACCAUACGCACACGUGCAUGUGUACACCUUCACAUACGCGCAUGCAUUCCUCUUCCCCCCUCCCUCUCCACGGCGGUGCACUACGACAACGACUGCCUCAG